Long non-coding RNA from Oryzias melastigma (Indian medaka), 928 nucleotides. RefSeq lists it as uncharacterized. The transcript has 3 exons. NCBI's taxonomy places the organism in Eukaryota, Metazoa, Chordata, Actinopteri, Beloniformes, Adrianichthyidae. The record is from RefSeq and is a predicted model, not a curated record.
AAUUGUCUUAAAGUUGAUUACAUUUUCGCUAGUGUGCCCCUAAUAUAAUGUCGACUUGCUAUUUAGUGACAAUAUUAUGCUUUAUGUGGAGGAAAUGCUGACAGAGUGCGCGCGCAGGUAUGGGGGUGGGGUUGACGAAGCAGCGACCGCGGAGGACGUGAACAGGUUGUGGGACUCUGAGAGGAAAAGCGGGGAGAUGGGGAGGCUUAGGCCCGGUCUGAAUUAUUCCCUUCUCCCUACCCCUCAAUGUUAAGUGACAGUUUAAGUACAACCGGGAUUAUUAUUUUUUACAUUUCAGGAGGAGUCCAAAGUCCACCGUCUCGAGGCUAAACGGGGUCGCGCUGAGGAGCUCUUUUCUUCACGUGGCUGCGCUCUGAAGUGCAGACGUUUACAUUUAAAUACAACAACUAAUGUUCAUCACAAAAAGGGAAGCGGUUCUCACAGCAUUUUGUUGCUACCUGGGGGAAGAUGAUGGGUGUCUAAUUCAUGAGUACAAGGACAUCCAGUGUGAUGACAUCCAGAGAGACAUGGAGAAGCACAGCAUGGGUGUUUGUCAUCAAAAAGGAAGGCGCUGAAAGAGAAGAUCCUGCAGAUGUCGGCGUUUUCUUGAAGGUGUGAUUCUACUGGAAAACCUGAGAUCUCCAGCCAGAGCGUGAGCAGCAAUGCUUGGAGGAAUCUAUGCAAUGAACUUGGCUUACCCAGAAGAACGGAGAUACCAGUAUGAAUCCAUUCAGAAGGUGGUCAUGCAAAUGAAUAGGGAAAAGCUUUCCCCAAAAGUCCAUGGGUUCAAGAACAAAACUUCGCACAGGAACUCUGGAACACUGAAACCAAACUUCUGGAUAUGUCUGAGAUGUUGGAUGUGAUUUGAAGACUGUUGGACAAAUGACCAAAAAGCCUUCGAGGCUGCAAUACCCAAAAGUUGUUUCAU